AUACGGAGGAUGCGAGCGUUAUCCGGAUUUAUUGGGUUUAAAGGGUGCGUAGGCUGUGCGUUAAGUCAGGGGUGAAAUGCCGUCGCUCAACGACGGAGCUGCCCUUGAUACUGGCGUGCUGGAGUACGGAUGCCGCUGGAGGAAUGAGUGGUGUAGCGGUGAAAUGCUUAGAUAUCACUCAGAACACCGAUUGCGAAGGCAUCUGACGAAUCCGUCACUGACGCUGAGGCACGAAAGCGUGGGGAUAGAACAGGAUUAGAUACCCUGGUAUUCCACGCCGUAAACGAUGAUGACUAACCGUCGGCGAUAGACAGCCGGUGGCCAAGCGAAAGCGAUAAGUCAUCCACCUGGGGAGUACGUCGGCAACGAUGAAACUCAAAGGAAUUGACGGGG
Molecule: ribosomal RNA, 393 nt
Filed under: uncultured bacterium
Lineage: Bacteria
Description: partial 16S ribosomal RNA
Rfam family: Bacterial small subunit ribosomal RNA
Source: RNAcentral